UGAGGAAUAUUGGUCAAUGGUCGCGAGACUGAACCAGCCAAGUAGCGUGCAGGAUGACGGCCCUCUGGGUUGUAAACUGCUUUUAGUUGGGAAUAAAAGGCGGUACGUGUACCGCGUAUUGUAUGUACCAUCAGAAAAAGGACCGGCUAAUUCCGUGCCAGCAGCCGCGGUAAUACGGAAGGUCCGGGCGUUAUCCGGAUUUAUUGGGUUUAAAGGGAGCGUAGGCCGCCUGGUAAGCGUGUUGUGAAAUGUCGUUGCUCAACAACGUCACUGCAGCGCGAACUGCCGGGCUUGAGUGUGCGGAAAGCGGGCGGAAUUUGUAGGUGUAGCGGUGAAAUGCUUAGAUAUCACGAAGAACUCCGAUUGCGAAGGCAGCUCGCUGUAGCAUUACUGACGCUGAAGCUCGAAGGUGCGGGUAUCGAACAGGAUUAGAUACCCUGGUAGU
This 445-nucleotide ribosomal RNA is filed under the name uncultured Prevotella sp. RNAcentral's name for it is "bacterial SSU rRNA". It matches the Rfam family "Bacterial small subunit ribosomal RNA", at positions 355 to 794 of the family's 1533-position model. The record is from RNAcentral. Lineage: Bacteria; Pseudomonadati; Bacteroidota; Bacteroidia; Bacteroidales; Prevotellaceae.